GGGCCGAUAGCUCAGCGGUGAGAGCAGCGGGCUCAUAACCCGUCAGACCUGGGUUCGAAUCCCAGUCGGCCCA
RNAcentral lists this transfer RNA (73 nucleotides) under Patulibacter minatonensis. RNAcentral describes it as "tRNA-Ile". It matches the Rfam family "tRNA". Rfam says of the family: Transfer RNA (tRNA) molecules are approximately 80 nucleotides in length. Their secondary structure includes four short double-helical elements and three loops (D, anti-codon, and T loops). Lineage: Bacteria; Bacillati; Actinomycetota; Thermoleophilia; Solirubrobacterales; Patulibacteraceae. The record is from RNAcentral. RNAcentral also lists the same sequence under 1 other name.